Molecule: ribosomal RNA, 300 nt
Filed under: uncultured Methanofollis sp.
Lineage: Archaea; Methanobacteriati; Methanobacteriota; Methanomicrobia; Methanomicrobiales; Methanomicrobiaceae
Description: bacterial SSU rRNA
Rfam family: Bacterial small subunit ribosomal RNA
Source: RNAcentral
CGCAGUACGGGCACGGUGCCGGGGUAAAACGUAGGGGGGGGUCGUUUGUCGGUUUGCUUGGUGGUAAAGAGCUCGUAGGUGGCUCGGUAAGUCGGGUGUGAAAUUUCGAGGCGUAACCUCGAGACGGCACCUGAUGCUGCGGUGGCUUGAGUCCGGUAGGGGAGCGUGGAAUUCCUGGUGUAGCGGUGAAAUGCGCAGAUAUCAGGAGGAACACCAGCGGCGAAGGCGGCGCUCUGGGCCGGUACUGACACUGAGGAGCGAAAGCGUGGGGAUCAAACAGGAUUAGAUACCCGGGUAGUC